Molecule: ribosomal RNA, 482 nt
Filed under: uncultured bacterium
Lineage: Bacteria
Description: bacterial SSU rRNA
Rfam family: Bacterial small subunit ribosomal RNA
Source: RNAcentral
CAGGCCUAACACAUGCAAGUCGAACGAUGAAACUCUAGCUUGCUAGAGAUGAUUAGUGGCGGACGGGUGAGUAACAUUUAGGAAUCUGCCUAGUAGUGGGGGAUAGCUCGGGGAAACUCGAAUUAAUACCGCAUACGACCUACGGGUGAAAGGGGGCGCAAGCUCUUGCUAUUAGAUGAGCCUAAAUCAGAUUAGCUAGUUGGUGGGGUAAAGGCCCACCAAGGCGACGAUCUGUAACUGGUCUGAGAGGAUGAUCAGUCACACCGGAACUGAGACACGGUCCGGACUCCUACGGGAGGCAGCAGUGGGGAAUAUUGGACAAUGGGGGCAACCCUGAUCCAGCCAUGCCGCGUGUGUGAAGAAGGCCUUUUGGUUGUAAAGCACUUUAAGCAGGGAGGAGAGGCUAAUGGUUAAUACCCAUUAGAUUAGACGUUACCUGCAGAAUAAGCACCGGCUAACUCUGUGCCAGCAGCCGCGGUAAU